Molecule: ribosomal RNA, 495 nt
Filed under: uncultured bacterium
Lineage: Bacteria
Description: partial 16S ribosomal RNA
Rfam family: Bacterial small subunit ribosomal RNA
Source: RNAcentral
GACGAACGCUGGCGGCGUGCCUAAUACAUGCAAGUAGAACGCUGAAGGAGGAGCUUGCUUCUCCGGAUGAGUUGCGAACGGGUGAGUAACGCGUAGGUAACCUGCCUGGUAGCGGGGGAUAACUAUUGGAAACGAUAGCUAAUACCGCAUAACAGUAGAUGUUGCAUGACAUUUGCUUAAAAGGUGCAAUUGCAUCACUACCAGAUGGACCUGCGUUGUAUUAGCUAGUUGGUGAGGUAACGGCUCACCAAGGCGACGAUACAUAGCCGACCUGAGAGGGGGAUCGGCCACACUGGGACUGUGACUCGGCCCAGACUCCUACGGGAGGCAGCAGGAGGGAAUCGUCGGCAAUGGACGGAAGUCUGACCGAGCAACGCCGCGUGAGUGAAGAAGGUUUUCGGAUCGUAAAGCUCGGUUGUAAGAGAAGAACGAGUGUGAGAGUGGAAAGUUCACACUGUGACGGUAUCUUACCAGAAAGGGACGGCUAACUACGUG